AUGGUAUUUUCAGUUUCUGGAGAAAAAUACUUAUAGACAGUUUAACUAUAGAUAUAUAAGUGAUCCCAGUUUCUUGUUUGCUAUGAUACUUCUGUGUUAUUUUUACUUAUUCCAUCAAAUGACAGUUGUGUCCUAGCCACAUCAGACAGCUGUCUAAGCUCUGGACUACUCCUUCAUGCAGCUGAAUCACUGCAGGGUUGACCAUGCCUGGGGUCACAGUGAUGGUUUCCAUUUCUAGGUGAAAGGUUGGCCUAGGACACAGGUCUCAAAGACUCUUGAAUCAGAAUCAGGAGAUUAGGGAAAACAGGAUAGAUAUCUGAGCAUGAAUAGUAGUAGACCUCCAGCCUUUCCCAUCGGAGGUCUUCUGGAUUCUUUGUGAGUUGAUUUUGAUUUGAUAUCUGUUUUCCCUUCAUCUUGCUUGCAAGUAUACAUGGUUCAAUCUCUUGCAUCCAGGAAAUGAAUUUUGCAGUUGGGCCAGAUGCUAAUUUGCACGUUGAUUCACCUUCUUUGCCUUUAACUUUUUUUUUUUUUUUUUUUGAAAUUAAUAUAUGUAACACAGCUAUAAUUUAUAGAUUUUUCAUGUAGACAAAGAUAAGUGUUAAAAGUGAGUCCAUCUAGAAUUUAAGAAUAUAUUAAGUAAAUAAUAGGCCUAAUAAACAUGCAGCAAAAUUUAGGAAAAUCAUAUGCAAAUAUAAAGAUUGAGGAGAACUGGACCAAUUGAUCUCCAAGGCCUGUCCCAGUCCUAGGACACCAUAGCUCCUUAACUUAGACUCUCUCUUCAAGGAGAACUUUAUUCCCAGGGUUCAUUAUAAGUAGCUCUCCCAGAGACAAUAAGGAAGGAGAUUGAAGAGCUGCAACUUUAUUCUCAAAAAGGAAAAAAGGUGAGUUUUUUAAAACAGUUUCGAUUUUUAGAUGAAGACAAAUAGAAAAGAUUCUAUGUAAGCUGCCCAAGAUCCACUAGGAGUGUAUUGCUGGGAACAGAUCCCAGACUUGCUUCCAUGGGAUUGGCAUUGACAGUUUUGUUGGGACCAACUGAUGGCAUAGUUAUGACUGAAAACAUAAAGUAGCACAAAUUUUUUUCUUAAUGACUAACACAUACACAUUCAGAUUCAGAUAGAAACUGCAGCUGCUCCCUCCAACUACUACAAGUUUGAUGAGCAGAUGGCAGGCUUCAUCUGGGAAUGGAAAGAUUUAGGGCUAGAAUUGAGAAAGAAUUGCCCUAAGUUAGAAGACUAGGAGGAGAGGGUAUUGUAACUACAAAUGCAUUUAAGAAUUGCCACAAGACAGUCCUGGAUUUUGUGUGCUGCACAUCACUCAUGGCUAUGCUUGUUUUAUAUUUUAAAUAUUGAUCAUUCAGAGAACAAAUCUCAUUCAAACUGAAUGUGUGUGUUUAUGUGAGAUGACUAUUGCAUCCAAAGAGAUGACUGCUGCUUCUGCAUGAGUUUUUUUCCCCCUAAUAUUAAGACAUCCAUCCUAGCAUCCGCAUCUUUACAUAAAACUAGAUUCUAGGAAUUGGAAGCUGAUUCCUUCCCUAGUCCAGAGAAUUAUCUUGUUAUAUGUUUUUAUGCUUCCUAAUGUAAGAUCAAGCCCAAGGGGAAAAGAGGAAUUUGUUUAGGGGAUACAGAGUUUCAAUUUGCAAGAUAAAAAACUACUGGAGAUCUGUUGUACAACAGUGUGAACACACUUAAAACUGCCCAACUGUACAUUUAAAACUGGUUAAGGUUGUUUCAAAAAAAAAAAACAGACAAACUGGAAAGCAUUAAAUGUUCAAUCUGAAGAGCUUCCAAUGAUCCAGGAUUGAAACAAAUCUGAAAAAGCAAAAGAAGAAAGGGAAAUAAACCAUAUGGCGUAUAUUCAAAGAUGCAUUUAGCUAAUGCCCUCUGGUGAGAAACCCAUUAAGAGGAACAUAAGGCAGUUCAGACUGAGCACUGAGAGAUAGAAUUUGUCAGGGGAAACAAAGGGACUCCUUAUAAGGGAAGUAAAGACAUCAUGUACCCAGAAAAUCACUCAUUUCAGAGGAUGGCUCUGCUAGCAAACUUUAGACCAGGGAAUAGUAAGCUUAAUUGUGAGGUAAUGAUCAAGAAGGAGAGGUAUACAUGAGGUAAUUU
Molecule: long non-coding RNA, 2108 nt
Organism: Callithrix jacchus (white-tufted-ear marmoset)
Lineage: Eukaryota; Metazoa; Chordata; Mammalia; Primates; Cebidae
Source: Ensembl